Molecule: ribosomal RNA, 862 nt
Filed under: uncultured Actinomycetes bacterium
Lineage: Bacteria; Bacillati; Actinomycetota; Actinomycetes
Description: bacterial SSU rRNA
Rfam family: Bacterial small subunit ribosomal RNA
Source: RNAcentral
UAUAAAAAUGGCGCGUCUAGCGACGCGUUCACUCUACCGGCGAACGGGUGAGUAACACGUGGGCAAUCUGCCCUGAAGACGGGGACAACCUCGGGAAACCGGGGCUAAUACCCGAUACCCUCCUCGGGGGGCAUCCUCUCGGGAGGAAAAGGUCCGCAAGGUCCGCUUCUGGAGGAGCCCGCGGCCUAUCAGCUAGUUGGUGGGGUAACGGCCUACCAAGGCGAUGACGGGUAGGUGGUCUGAGAGGACGAUCACCCACACUGGGACUGAGACACGGCCCAGACUCCUACGGGAGGCAGCAGUUGGGAAUAUUGGGCAAUGGGCGCAAGCCUGACCCAGCGACACCGCGUGGGGGACGAAGGCCUUCGGGUCGUAAACCCCUGUCAGGGGGGACGAAGCCCGCCGCAAGGCGGGUGACGGUACCUCCAGAGGAAGCCCCGGCUAACUACGUGCCAGCAGCCGCGGUAAGACGUAGGGGGCGAGCGUUGUCCGGAUUUACUGGGCGUAAAGCGCGUGCAGGCGGUCCGUUAAGUCUCGUGUGAAAUCCUCCGGCCCAACCGGAGAACGCCGCGGGAUACUGGCGGGCUUGAGGGCGGUAGAGGGUGAUGGAAUUCCCGGUGGAGCGGUGAAAUGCGUAGAUAUCGGGAGGAACGCCAGUGGCGAAGGCGGUCACCUGGGCCGUCCCUGACGCUGAGACGCGAAAGCUGGGGGAGCGAACGGGAUUAGAUACCCCGGUAGUCCCAGCCGUAAACGAUGCUCACUAGGUGUUGGGGGGUUACUCCCUCAGUGCCGCAGCCAACGCAUUAAGUGAGCCGCCUGGGUAGUACUGCCGCAAGGUUGAAACUCAAAUGAAUUGACGGGG